RNAcentral lists this ribosomal RNA (857 nucleotides) under Halobacteriaceae archaeon Ston11. RNAcentral's name for it is "bacterial SSU rRNA". It matches the Rfam family "Archaeal small subunit ribosomal RNA", at positions 31 to 889 of the family's 1478-position model. The record is from RNAcentral. Lineage: Archaea; Methanobacteriati; Methanobacteriota; Halobacteria; Halobacteriales; Halobacteriaceae.
UAUCGGAGUCCGAUUUAGCCAUGCUAGUUGUGCGGGUUUAGACCCGCAGCGGAAAGCUCAGUAACACGUGGCCAAGCUACCCUGUGGACGGGAAUACUCUCGGGAAACUGAGGCUAAUCCCCGAUAACGCUUUGCUCCUGGAAGGGGCAAAGCCGGAAACGCUCCGGCGCCACAGGAUGCGGCUGCGGUCGAUUAGGUAGACGGUGGGGUAACGGCCCACCGUGCCCAUAAUCGGUACGGGUUGUGAGAGCAAGAGCCCGGAGACGGAAUCUGAGACAAGAUUCCGGGCCCUACGGGGCGCAGCAGGCGCGAAACCUUUACACUGUACGAAAGUGCGAUAAGGGGACUCCGAGUGUGAAGGCAUAGAGCCUUCACUUUUGUACACCGUAAGGUGGUGCACGAAUAAGGACUGGGCAAGACCGGUGCCAGCCGCCGCGGUAAUACCGGCAGUCCGAGUGAUGGCCGAUCUUAUUGGGCCUAAAGCGUCCGUAGCUGGCUGAACAAGUCCGUUGGGAAAUCUGUCCGCUUAACGGGCAGGCGUCCAGCGGAAACUGUUCAGCUUGGGACCGGAAGACCUGAGGGGUACGUCUGGGGUAGGAGUGAAAUCCUGUAAUCCUGGACGGACCGCCGGUGGCGAAAGCGCCUCAGGAGAACGGAUCCGACAGUGAGGGACGAAAGCUAGGGUCUCGAACCGGAUUAGAUACCCGGGUAGUCCUAGCUGUAAACGAUGUCCGCUAGGUGUGGCGCAGGCUACGAGCCUGCGCUGUGCCGUAGGGAAGCCGAGAAGCGGACCGCCUGGGAAGUACGUCUGCAAGGAUGAAACUUAAAGGAAUUGGCGGGGGAGCACUACAACCGGA